CAGUGCCGCCUCGCCGGAAGGACCGAAUUGUCACACUACGCGUCGGUUUUCUCGCCGACGACGUUCCUUGCUUCGAGUUCAGGGAAACCGUGGACGGGGACUGCCGCGAAACGAUUUCGAUCCACAACAUUCCCCACCAAAGUCGUAACUGGCGAACUAAAACGCGGCCAGUUCGUCAUCGUCGUCCACCGGUAACCAGUGCAGGCAACCAGAUGCGCCGAAUUUCGUCGGCACUGUGAAAAGUGGUGAUACGAACAUUUUUUUUUAACCUUUCAUUAUUUACGUGAACUUUUUCGCUUUACGUAUAAUUUUUCGUGAAAAAAAAUGGUGUAUCUCGUUAGGCGUUAGUGAAUCGUGUUUUGAUUGUUAUUAUUUUUUUUUUUUUUUUUCGUUUGCUUGUUCUCUAAUUAUUACGUAUCUGCACCUUGUCCGCCGUCAGUCCUACCGACCAUAGGUGUAUCUUGUACAUUUCAAUUUGGUUUUUCCGGAACGGAUAAAACGAUACGCCCGUCCAUUGUUUGUGCAACCGCUCAGAGACGAGUCGUCUGUUUCGUCAACAAACGCUUAACAGUCUGAUGGAUAAUAUUUGUUUUUUCACUGAACAACACCUGAAGAAUAAAGAAAUGCCAUACAAGUGAUUGGCUUUUAUCAAUGUUGUGUUCCAUUAGAGUAAAUGCCUUACUAUUCAGUCAAACUUCUGUGUGCACUAAGACAGAGUACUGUAUGGCUACUUAUUAUAGGCUACUUCCUACUGGUGGAGGCAUUUAUUAAAGAUUAUACCUAAACCGGAAGAAGAAAAUAAAUAACCAAAUUCAGAAUUGGUAAUUAUACAAAUUUAACAUCUAUUUUUUAAUGUAAUAAUGUUAUGGUAAGCUCUUUAAGUUAAAAGGUAUAAGGCUAUUCUAUUAUGAUAUUAUUUAUAAAUUACAUUCUAUAUUUUAUUUUGUGGGUUUAAAAUGUGGUGUUGACUGAAAUUUCAAUGUUUA
Molecule: long non-coding RNA, 986 nt
Organism: Melanaphis sacchari
Lineage: Eukaryota; Metazoa; Arthropoda; Insecta; Hemiptera; Aphididae
Exons: 4
Source: RefSeq, a predicted model, not a curated record